This 492-nucleotide ribosomal RNA is filed under the name uncultured bacterium. RNAcentral describes it as "partial 16S ribosomal RNA". It matches the Rfam family "Bacterial small subunit ribosomal RNA", at positions 29 to 507 of the family's 1533-position model. The record is from RNAcentral.
AGUGAACGCUGGCGGUAGGCCUAACACAUGCAAGUCGAACGGCAGCACAGUAAGAGCUUGCUCUUACGGGUGGCGAGUGGCGGACGGGUGAGGAAUACAUCGGAAUCUACUUUUUCGUGGGGGAUAACGUAGGGAAACUUACGCUAAUACCGCAUACGCCCUACGGGUGAAAGCAGGGGAUCUUCGGACCUUGCGCGAUUGAAUGAGCCGAUGUCGGAUUAGCUAGUUGGCGGGGUAAAGGCCCACCAAGGCGACGAUCCGUAGCUGGUCUGAGAGGAUGGUCAGCCACACUGGAACUGAGACACGGUCCAUACUCCUACGGGAGGCAGCAGUGGGGAAUAUUAGACAAUGGGCGCAAGCCUGAUCCAGCCAGACCGCGUGGGUGAAGAAGGCCUUCGGGUUGUAAAGCCCUUUUGUUGGGAAAGAAAAGCAGCAGGUUAAGACCCCGCGGUUCUGACGGUACCCAAAGAAUAAGCACCGGCUAACUUCGUG